AACGAACGCUGGCGGCAUGCCUAACACAUGCAAGUCGAACGAGACCUUCGGGUCUAGUGGCGCACGGGUGCGUGACGCGUGGGAACCUGCCCUUAGGUUCGGAAUAACUCCCCGAAAGGGGUGCUAAUACCGGAUAAUGUCUUCGGACCAAAGAUUUAUCGCCUUUGGAUGGGCCCGCGUUGGAUUAGCUAGUUGGUAGGGUAAAAGCCUACCAAGGCGACGAUCCAUAGCUGGUCUGAGAGGAUGAUCAGCCACACUGGGACUGAGACACGGCCCAGACUCCUACGGGAGGCAGCAGUGGGGAAUAUUGGACAAUGGGCGAAGGCCUGAUCCAGCAAUGCCGCGUGAGCGAUGAAGGCCUUAGGGUUGUAAAGCUCUUUUACCCGGGAUGAUAAUGACAGUACCGGGAGAAUAAGCUCCGGCUAACUCCGUG
Molecule: ribosomal RNA, 433 nt
Filed under: uncultured bacterium
Lineage: Bacteria
Description: partial 16S ribosomal RNA
Rfam family: Bacterial small subunit ribosomal RNA
Source: RNAcentral